Molecule: long non-coding RNA, 3419 nt
Filed under: Gossypium barbadense (sea-island cotton)
Lineage: Eukaryota; Viridiplantae; Streptophyta; Magnoliopsida; Malvales; Malvaceae
Description: long non-coding RNA (GBAR_LNC011680)
Source: RNAcentral
AUUUGGUCACCAAUUUUGACUAGUUUUAUUAUUAACAAAUCAAAAAGAAAAAGCUAUCAUUUUUCUCUUCUCCUUCACCGAAAUAUGCAGCAAAGAAAGGGCUUUGAAGCUGGAAAAUUUCAGCAACAUAUUUCCCUUGCUUGUAAGUGAUUUUAAUGUCUUUGCUUGAUGAUUUUUACAUUUUUGGAACCCCUAAAGCAUGAGCUUUCAUGUGAGGGGUCUAUUUUGCAAAAUGAUGAAGAGUCUAGGGUUUUGCCAUGAGAGUAAAUGUGUUGUUUUCUGUGUUUUUAUGGAAGAUUAUGAGUCCUAGUUGUCUAAUAAACAACUUUUGUGAAAGAAAUUGCAUGAAAACACCUUAAAAAAGGCUAGAUUGCUAAGUUGUAAAAUGAGUUGUAAAUGUGUGAAAUAGUUGAAAUUAUGAGUUGCUAUAGUUAUGAAAAUGGUUCAUCUAGACUCAAGGAGUAAAGGAAUGUGAUAAAAAUUAUUUUACGAGCCUAGGGGUAAUUUGGUAAUUUUGGCAAAAUAUAGGAGCAAAACUGUAAAAAUUGCCCAAGUGUGUCAAUGGACUAAUUUGAUCAGUACAUUGUUUUAAUAAGUUGAAUGUGAUAUUUUAGAUGAUGAAAAUCGAGAUUUGGACCUAGAACGGAAAGAAAUCGAUUAAGGGAUAAUUACGUCUUUUUUUUCACCUUUGUGGUAUCGAGGUAAGUUCAUGUGUAAAUAAUGUAGCAUAAUUGUUAUUUUUAAGUUAUUGAUGUUAAAUAUAUGAUAUGCUGGUUUCUAUCAUGAAAUAUAUGCUUUGUGGUUAUUUUCGAAUAAAAUGCAAGUUAUGUGUAUUAUCUGUUAAAUAUAAAGUGCUACCGAGUAUUGGUUUCGGUAUUUUACGGAAGAUGGCAAGGAGAUGUGUUCGAGGAAAAUCCCGUUUGAACCUUAGGAAUAGAUUAGGAUACAAGUGACAUGUCACUAGGAUGGUUGAGCAUCCGAACUCGUUGAGUUGAGUCCGAGUUCACUUAUGGAUGCGAAUGUUCGAACUCGUUGAGUUGAGUCCGAGUUCGUGAGAUGUAACUAGGCAUCCGAGCUCGUUGAGUUGAGUCCGAGUUCACUUAUGGAUGCGAACGCCCGAGCUCAUUGAGUUGAGUCCGAGUUCACUUAUGGGCGGGUUACAUGGUAGCUUGGCUACAUAUGUGGCACUUAUGUGCAAACUUUCCAUGUAUCCGAAUUAUAUUCCGAUGUGUUCAACGGGUAAAAUUCUACUCAAAUGGAGGAAUACUCGAGAUGAAAGGGACGUAUUGGUAAAUGUUGUGAAAUGGAUACUUUGAACAGGUAUGUACUUAACCCUCGGGUUGAAAACUUGACAUAACAACAAUAUGGUAAGAUGAUAAAUGAAAAUGUGAUAUGAAUGUCUCGGUGAUGAUUAUACAAACGAUGUUGUAUUAAUUUUGUGAACAAUGAUCGUGAAUGAGUAAUUUAGCCUUGACAGAUUUGAGUUACUGCAGUAGUGUAACUUUGAAAAUACACUAAAAAUAGUGAAAAAUGAGUUAGAGGCAGAAUAAAAUAUGGGAUUAAAGCUUAAUGAGUCUAUUUUCACAUGAAAGAAACAGGGGAAGAAAAAGAAUUCCAUAUUGUGUGAUAUUUGAAUUCUUGUGAAACAGGGUCUGAAUGAAUUCGAGAUCCCCUGUUCUGACUUUAGAAAUUCACCAAAAAUUGUAAAAAAAUUAUUAAGAGUCAUACCUUACAUUCAUGGAUUCCUUAUUGAGUCUAUUUUUAGGGGAAAUAAACUCCAUGGUCGUUGGAAUUUGUACAGGGAGAAAUUCGGUUUGUAGUGCACAGGGGUCAGAGUGGUCAUACCCUGAAAUAGGGGAGACUUUAACUAAUAAACUGUACUAAUUGGCCCAACCAAAAAUUCUAGAAAAAAAUUAGUAAGUAGAAAUAUGAGUCUAGUUUCAAGAGAAAUAGACAAGAACAUUAUUCGAGUCUUGUACUAUGAGAUAAUUGAAUUUUAGUAUAGAAGGGUCGGAACUGUCAGACAGUGAAUCAGGGGUAAAUUUGAGGAAUAAACUGUACUAUUUGGCUUAACCAAAAAUUCUGAAAAUUUUAUGGAAGAAAUGAAAAUAAGUCUAGUUUCAGGGAAAAUUAACAGAACUUAAUUCGGAGUUUCGUAGCUCCAGAUAUAAAUAAUUUAGUGACCGUUGCUCAGAAAGACAACUUGUAGUGAACUUGAGAAUAUGUUGUAAACAUUGAUAAAAUAAGUUAAUGGGUGCUUAUUGUUUUCAUAUGAACUUACUAAGCGAAAGCUUACCCCCCUCUUCUUUCCCAUGUUUUCUAGGGUUUCCAGGUUAGCUCUGGCUGGAGACCGUCAGAGAUAUUAUCACACUGUCAAGCUAACGCUAUUGGUGUAGUGAUUUCAAGUACUUUGAGCCUAUGGCAUGUAUAGGAGUUUAAAUAUUAGAGUAUGUGAUAUGGCUUUAACCAUAUGUGUUGGCCUAUUUUGAUUAUGGGGUUGUAAAUCUAUUUUAAUUAUGCAUGCAUGUGCUAUGGUAUUAUGUGAUGAGUUUAUAAUGAUUAUAGUAUGAAUGUGGUAAAGAUGUGAGUAAAAUCCAUGAUAUCUAUUGCAUGUGAAAUUGCCAUAAUCAUGACAUGUUAGGAAUGUUUAAGUACCUAAUUUUGCCAUGUUGUAUGUUAUUGUAUAAGUAUGCGUGUAUCUAUUGUGAGUGUGACAAAAUGACUUGGAAAAUAGCCUUGUAUUUGUCCAGGUUUUUGGACACGGGUUUGGGACACGGGCGUGUGCUCUAUACCCACACGGGCGCAUGAAGCCUUGAUGCAAGAGAUUUUCUAAGUUUUUCAUGAGUUCUCAGUUGGGUCCCGAACCACUCCGGAUAUAUAUUUUGGGCCUCGUAAGCCCGUAUAUGGGACAGGUUGUAUGUGAAAAUAAAAGUUUUUAAUUAUUUGAGAUUCCAUGGCCCUGUUUAGUAUGAAAGUGUUAGUAAAAGUCAGGUAGCACCUCGAACUCCGUCCCGGCGUCGGAUGCGGGCGAGGGGUGUUGCAAAUGAGAUGUAAAUUAAAGGACAAAAUAUAAAUAAGGAAUUAAAAAUGCUGAAAAUUAAAUAAAUACAAAAUGGAAAGAUUAAAUAAAAAGAUUAAAUCAAAACCAUAAUAAAAUUUUAGGGGAUAAAAUAAUAAAAAUAGUAAAUAAAGAGGCAGGAUUAAAUAAAUGAGGGAUUAAAUUGAAAUUUAAAUAGAACUUAAAGCAUAAAUUGUGAAAUAAAUAAGAAAAAGGAAGUAAAGGGCUAAAUUGAAAAUAUAACAAAAUUUAGCGCCUAAAUUUCAAGGAAACAAAAUAUAAAGGAUUAAAUUAAAAUGGAAUAGAAAAUUUGGGCUCAAAGAGCAAUUAAUCCAAUCCGUGUCAUUUUCCUUGGGUUGAA